AGUCUAUAGCAUAUCUAAAAUACAUAUAAAAGAAUCAUAUAAUUCUUUAAUAAAAUUUAUUGAAAUCACAAUUAUCAAUUAUAAUUACUAAUCAAACAUUGCUAUAUUAAGUUAUUUUGUUUAAAUCUAAAUGGAUGUGUAUUUAUCUAAUACACAUAAACGGACAAAUAUAUAUACAUUAUAUGCAUAUAAUCAAUUUACUAACAUAAUCAUUAACUGCAUAUACUAAUUUCUAUAGUACUUAUUGUUCGCAUUUCAUCGGAUCCAUUUAAAUAUAAUUGUUCAAAUACAUAUACCAAAAGCAUAAUUUUUAUACUUAUCAACUAUAAGUGCCGAAUGCACAUAUACACCUAUACCCACCUAUGCCGAAUGCAUACAUAUAUACACACAUAUAUAUAUCCAACAAUUUCAUGACAACCGAUAUAUAUAUACAUACUUACUAUUCACAAAGAUUCGAACGAUUAUAUAAUCAUCAACCACCUUGAUACAAUGUUCAUAAACUUAUCCAUUUCAUAUAAACAAAAUCAUAUAUAUUUAUACCCAAUACAUAGAAUCACUUAAUUUAAACAGAUUCAACGGUACUUAGCCUGCUAGGCUUGUAGCCUGAUUCAGAUCACCGGCACGUAGCCUGCUAGGUUUAUAACCUGAUUCAGAUCACCGGCACGUAGCCUGCUAGACUUAAAGUCUGAAAAAUUCACUGGCAUUAAGCCUGUUAGGUACAAAACCUGAAUAUCACAAAUACGAGAAUAAUUUCUCAUAUAACCCUUACUGGCAUUACACAUGUUUAAAACAUAUACGUAUAAUUCAUGUAGCAUUAACCACAUUUUCAAGAAAUUGGCAGACCAUAGCUUAGUUAUACCUGUACUUACAAUCCAUACUUUUAGCUCAAUACAAAUAAUUGUAUACGUUUAUACCUAUUCAAACCACACUUAUUCCAUAAUAUAUAGUUCAUACCUUAAAUUCAAUUCCAAAAAUUUAUAGAAUUAUAUACAUAUAUAUAUUGAGACUUCAUAUACAUAUUUUCAUAACUUCCAUACUUCAAUCAAAUUCAAAAACCCUAUAUAUUUAUAUACACAUAUAUUCGAACAAUAUAUAAAUAUCUUUAAUUCAUAACAUUAGAUUCAGUUCACAGUAAUUGAAACAUACCUUCGAACCACUUAUAUAUAUAUUCGCACCAUAUAUAUGUAUUAUACAUACCUUUGCUUAAAAUCAAGGAUUUAUACCUAUGCAACAUUCAUACUUUAACUAAUUUCAAUAACUUAUAUAUAUAUAUGUAUAUAUAUCCUAGCAUUAUAUAUACAUAUACAUAUACAUGCUUAUUCAAAUAUCAACUAUACUCUUAUACAUUUCUUACCUUUAUUUCAACCCAUAAAUCUAUACAAGAUUAUACUUGUAUAUUCGAACAUGCUAUAUAUAUAAAUAUCAUCCAUACUUCAAAAUUUAUUCAAUCAAUAUAUUUUUAAAUAUAGCUCAACACAAAAUACAAUUAGUAUACAUGUAUAAAUAUUAACUUAAUAACUUUUAAUUGCUAAUAGACUUACCUCGGAUAUCAGCGGACACGAUCGACUAUUCGAUUACUUUCGUUUUUCCCCGAUCCAAAUUCGUUUUCUU
Molecule: long non-coding RNA, 1611 nt
Filed under: Gossypium barbadense (sea-island cotton)
Lineage: Eukaryota; Viridiplantae; Streptophyta; Magnoliopsida; Malvales; Malvaceae
Description: long non-coding RNA (GBAR_LNC018659)
Source: RNAcentral